CAAAUACAUGGAGAACCCGUAGCCUGAAGCCAUUUGGAAAGCAGUAACCCCCUGCAAGAAAAGGAACAGAACUGGCAUUAAAUUCUUAAAUUCCUGCUCUCCAGCCAGAUGCCUCCAGACCUAAACACUGAUAAUCGAAAACCAUGAACCUCUUCUGGCUUGGGGAAAUCUUCUUGGAAUUUCGAUUGUGGAUUUAUUUGCUGCUAAGAUGGUGCAUUCGAGCUGAAACAGUGAACUCAUCCAAACAUCAGCCCUCUCUGACCAUCUCCGGCAAACAUCCAUUAUCCAGAGCCAUCCGCUUCCUCAGGCUGAUCUAUGGAGGAAAACUGUUGUUGUUUUCAGCAUGCCAGGAGAUGAGUUUCUCUCUGCUCUUGAACAACAGGAUUGGACAUCAAGUGUUGCUCUUAAGGUUAAUUAGAAAAAUUAUCUCAUCAGAGGAGCACCCCUCCUCCUCCUGCCAGAGACAUGCUAAUCUCUGACAAGUCUGCUCUGGGUCUCUCUCUGUCAGAGUAGAAUACAUGGAGAACCCACGGCCCCUGAAAAGAUCCGCUUCGCUGAGCCACUUUGACUGGGCUGCUAAUAAAAAGACAGGAAAGAGUGUGACCUGUUUGGACUCACUCACAACCACUUUGUAUCCCACCUAUAUCUGUCACCUCAUCUCCCUCUCUCUCUUUCUAUCCCUCACUCAGUCUCUUUAUCUAUAUGUGGCUUUUGGUCUUCUCAGAUUUCUCUUUUUUUGGUACCUGUUCCUUCUGUGCUGCUCAGCUAAUGUUGGCACAAAUGAAGCAGAACGGCUUAUUUUCUCUCUCCCGCAUCACUCUGGCCUCUCUUGCUUGACCGUAUCUAUUUUUUUCCCUCUUUCUCUUUUAAACUGAAGUUCCUUUCUGUCCAAAUGCUUUUAAUCUUUUACCUCUUCCAUGCCUUUCAUUUUAUUUUCCUCUCUUUUGCAUCUUGCUACUCUUUCAGUCAGAUUCGUCUUUGCUCCCAUUAAUAUAAAGGGAUUGAUCGCCAAAAAAAAAAAAAAAAAAAGUAAUUAUGCUGUUAUUUUUCUUCUGAUGUGAUCUCAUUAGUAAGUGUAGGUAAGCAUACUUAAAAUGUGUUUCUACGUUUGUGUACGAUUGCAUAAACACUGAAAUGAACAUUAUAUAUAAAUACACACAAUGUAUUUACAGCAUCUUCAUGUAAUUAAUACAUUUGAUCAAUGUGAUAAAUCUUAAUUGCUAUCACAUUUAUUUAAUACAUUUAUGUAGUUUGAUAUUAUAACAGUUUUAUUUUGUGUGAUUUCUGGUGUUUUAUAUCAAAGGAUUCCAUCAUUUUACUUAAGCCUAAAC
This is a long non-coding RNA of Cyprinus carpio carpio, 1331 nucleotides long. NCBI's taxonomy places the organism in Eukaryota, Metazoa, Chordata, Actinopteri, Cypriniformes, Cyprinidae. The record is from Ensembl.